AAUACGAAGGGUGCAAACGUUGCUCGGAAUUAUUGGGCGUAAAGCGCACGUAGGCGGCUUAGCAAGUCGGAAGUGAAAGCCCUCGGCUCAACCAAGGAAGUGCUUUCGAAACUGCUGAGCUUGAGUAGUUAAGAGGAUCGCGGAAUUCCCAGUGUAGAGGUGAAAUUCGUAGAUAUCGGGAGGAACACCAGUGGCGAAGGCGGCGAUCUGGGAACAUACUGACGCUGAGGUGCGAAAGCGUGGGGAGCAAACAGG
RNAcentral lists this ribosomal RNA (255 nucleotides) under uncultured prokaryote. Its description in RNAcentral is "partial 16S ribosomal RNA". It matches the Rfam family "Bacterial small subunit ribosomal RNA", at positions 522 to 776 of the family's 1533-position model. The record is from RNAcentral.